AUGCAAAUCAGGGCGAAGAGAACCUGCUAUGCCGCUGCCUCAUCUGGGGCACGCGGAUGGGCCGAGCUCCCGGACGACUUGCUCCGACCCAUCAUCGCUCUCCUCAGCUCGUUCCGCGACCUCCUCGCCUUUGGUUCCACCUGUCGUCCCUGGCGUGAUUUCUCAGCGCACACGUCCUCUUUGUACCCUCUCCUCCUCCACCCGAGCACCGAGAGCCAACGGUAUCCCUGGUAUGACUGUGACUACUGGACCCUUUUCCACGAAUGCACGUGGAGAUUGGCUGAUCCUGCUGCCGCCUCAUCCUAUCCCAGUUUGCUUUCCUUGAGUGAUCUCAGGGGCAUGUUCCUUCUGCGCUGCUCCUACGGUCACCUCAUCUUCUUCGACAACAAGGGGUUCUACAUUGUUAAUGCGUUCAGUGGCGCUAAGGUUGUGCCUCCUUGCCUCAAGUCAGACAACUUCAUUCACAUUAGCUAUGCCACCUUGACUGCCCCUGUUGCAUCCGCUGACUCGCAUCUCCUUGUCGGCAGCGGAGGCUAUCUGUUUCAGUGGCGCGUCGGGAGCGACUCUUGGUUGGAACACUAUCCUAAAGUUCCUUUUCUUAGGAUUGAACAAAUCGUGGCCUUCAAGGGCAAAACAUACACCCUGGGGUCUUUUGGGUCCUUCUGCAUCGUAUAA
RNAcentral lists this ribosomal RNA (675 nucleotides) under Triticum aestivum (bread wheat). RNAcentral describes it as "partial small subunit ribosomal RNA". Lineage: Eukaryota; Viridiplantae; Streptophyta; Magnoliopsida; Poales; Poaceae. The record is from RNAcentral.